UACGGAGGGUGCGAGCGUUGUUCGGAAUCACUGGGCGUAAAGCGCGUGUAGGCGGCCCACUAAGUCUGAUGUGAAAUCACGUGGCUCAACCACGUGCGGUCAUUGGAAACUGGAGGACUUGAGUGCAGAAGAGGAAAGUGGAAUUCCAAGUGUAGCGGUGAAAUGCGUAGAGAUCGUAAGGAAGACCAGUGGCGAAGGCGGGUCUCUGGACAGUUCCUGACACUGAGGCACGAAGGCCAGGGGAGCAAACGGG
This 253-nucleotide ribosomal RNA is filed under the name uncultured bacterium. Its description in RNAcentral is "partial 16S ribosomal RNA". It matches the Rfam family "Bacterial small subunit ribosomal RNA", at positions 524 to 776 of the family's 1533-position model. The record is from RNAcentral.